Molecule: non-coding RNA, 799 nt
Organism: Doryrhamphus excisus (bluestripe pipefish)
Lineage: Eukaryota; Metazoa; Chordata; Actinopteri; Syngnathiformes; Syngnathidae
Source: RefSeq, a predicted model, not a curated record
AAACGACAGAGGAAGAAUAAAUCCUGAUGGUAAAUAUACGUCAAGUCAUCGUGGAUUGUCUUCCUUAUUCUGUACCACAGGAAGAAUAAAUCCUAAGGGUGAAUAUAUGUCAAGUCAUCGUGGAUUGUCUUCCUUAUUCUGUACCACAGGUUGCGGAGGGGCAACAGAUGCAUACCUUUCCUUGAAUUCAUCAUUGGAAAUGGAUCAUCCUCGAAUGGCAGAAAACCAAGGUGGCGUGAGAGCUCCGAUUUUUUUGUUGAGCGCUAAAGCAAGCCACUCUGGCUUCUUUAUCGCAUUUCAAAGCUCCAAAUCUUCACUUCAGCUCAGUCCAUGCCAACAUCGACCAGGAAUUUACAAUAAAUCUGGCUGGUUGGCCACCCCCGGUUACUGUCGACUUAAAGAAUUUUAUUAUUUUUUUGAUGAAGCUUUAAAACACAGGAAAAUAAACAAUUAAAGAGUUUCCAGUGGAAACGCAUCUUAUUUCUUUUCUUCACUUCGAUACAUGCAACUCUGACACAUACAUUAUUUACAUACUGCUUUCCAAAAAAAGGGGCUGUACCUUUGCUUGUAAUGCCAGGCUGCUCCCCCAGUAGCAGUUUUAGCCGCUUGGCGUGGAUUUUACCCUGGUAGUGUGACUGUGCAACCACUGCUGAUGUGAAGGACAUGUUACACAGCGUGCAACAUUUAUUCUUGUCCACGUCACCCUCGUCGUUCCCCUACAGAGAUACAACAACAUGAGUCACGACAAUACUACAACAGAUUAUUUCAGUAAGCCGAUACAAGAUUAAAUAUACGCAGU